GAGCUAUGAAGAUAACUGCGCCUUGGUGAUGGAAGGGUCCAUCACUAUUGUCUUAUUCAAAUAUGAUAACUGGUGCUGCUGAGCUC
Molecule: small nucleolar RNA, 86 nt
Organism: Mercurialis annua (annual mercury)
Lineage: Eukaryota; Viridiplantae; Streptophyta; Magnoliopsida; Malpighiales; Euphorbiaceae
Product: small nucleolar RNA snoR114
Exons: 1
Source: RefSeq, a predicted model, not a curated record